GACGAACGCUGGCGGUGUGCUUAACACAUGCAAGUCGAACGGUAAGGCCCUUUCGGGGGUACACGAGUGGCGAACGGGUGAGUAACACGUGAGUAACCUGCCCUCAUCUCUGGGAUAACAGUCGGAAACGGUUGCUAAUACUGGAUAUGAGCUUGCAAGGCAUCUUGUGGGUUGGAAAGAUUUUUUUUGGUUGGGGAUGGACUCGCGGCCUAUCAGCUUGUUGGUGAGGUAGUGGCUCACCAAGGCUUCGACGGGUAGCCGGCCUGAGAGGGCGACCGGCCACAUUGGGACUGUGAUACAGCCCACACUCCUACGGGAGGCCGCAGUGGGGAAUAUUGCACCAUGGACGGAAGUCUGAUGCAGCAACGCCGCGUGCGGGAUGACGGCCUUCGGGUUGUAAACCGCUUUCAAUUGUGACGAAGCUUUUUUGUGACGGUAGCAGUAGAAGAAGCACCGGCUAACUACGUG
This 468-nucleotide ribosomal RNA is filed under the name uncultured bacterium. RNAcentral's name for it is "partial 16S ribosomal RNA". It matches the Rfam family "Bacterial small subunit ribosomal RNA", at positions 28 to 507 of the family's 1533-position model. The record is from RNAcentral.